Drosophila obscura is the source of this 1500-nucleotide long non-coding RNA. RefSeq lists it as uncharacterized. Lineage: Eukaryota; Metazoa; Arthropoda; Insecta; Diptera; Drosophilidae. The record is from RefSeq and is a predicted model, not a curated record. The transcript has 5 exons.
UUUGCAGCUGGAUAUUUACUUUGAGGCGUUCCAGUGAUGCCGAGCGGACUGCAGCCGAAAGGGAAAUGUCAAUGGAAAUGGUAACCAUUCAGAAAGCCUUUAGAAAUUCAAUUCAGCAGGCAGACAGUCAGUUGCCAAUGAAGCACUGGUAAAUACUCGUAGAGUGCACAGUGAGUCGAAGUACUAAUGUAUGCACAAAGACGAUGUUUGUUUGAUAUGAGAACAUAUUGGAUUAAAUGUUGGCAUUACCAGUUAGAUUGUGAAAAUCGUAAAGUUCUAUAGAAUUUUGAGCUUUGAACCGCUUUGAACUAGAUUAAAGAUCUAUUCUUGUUUCCGGCUAUGAGAAUAUAUAAAAUAAAUGCAAUUUCGGGAAAGGAAUCACUGCGCUCAACAUAAGAGAGUUACGGAGAGAUAUUUUCAAAGAAGUUGACAUUACCAGUUGGAGUGUGACAAUCGUGGAAUUCCAUAGAAUUUCGAGCUUUGAACCGCAUCCUAGAUUAAAGAUCGACUCUUGUUGCUGGCUAUGAGAAUAUAUAAAAUAAAUGCAAUGUAUGUAUCCCCAACAACCUUAAUUUUAAAGUUGAAUAAUAUUUUAAUAUAUUUUUUUUUUAUUUUAUUACGUAUACGUCGACAGUUCGGAAAAAAAAUCACUUUCCAAAGUGGGUAUUAACAACGCAAUCGUAGUUCUCAAAUGUCAGUCGAUCAUGUACACAUUUUGGAGGGAUUGGCUCACAACCUCCUCCAUUUGUUGAACAAUCUGGUAAUUUAAAUUGUAUACAUAUAAUUAAUAUACAUACAUGCACUUACUUAAUAAUCUACUUACUGCUGCUUCCGUUUGAGAAGUGAAACAAUGCGCUCAGCACUAAAGAUAAAAAUAUAUAUUUAUCCAGCAACAUCUAUUACCAUAUACUCUGAAGGUUGGCGAUCCAGUGUCAAGUUUUUAGUUUUUAUUUAACACUUGGAUUUUAAUUCAUUCGUUUCAGUUGGCAUUACCAGUUAGAGUGUGAAAAACGUGGAGUUCUAUAGAAUUUUGAGAUUUGCACCGCAUUGUAGAUUAGGGAUCGAUUCUUGUUUCUGGUUGUGAGAUGAUGGACUUUGAGCUGCCAUUGGACGGCACUUGGGCCAACGCUCUCAAUAUUCCAGUUAAGGAGAUAUAUUUAUAUAGCAAAAUACUUUUGUUAUUUAAAAUAUCUUUCUUCGCAUUGAACUGUAGAAAAUCUUUUGAUUUGUGGCGUUCACAACCUGGGAACAAAAAUUGUAUUUCUUUCGUACUAUUUAUUUUGGUAUUAUUUACUUACCAGGCGCAACAUCGUUACAGAAUCAGCAAUCGGCCGGUAUCUUCUCAUGCCAGUUAAUGAGUCAUACGGACUGUCAUACGGACAGUUAAAAGGAAUUUUUGAAUUCACUUGAUCUGCCUGGAAUGCCACCACAUGUAUUGUUUUUUAUUUGUUAAUAUUUGUAGGCGUGCUAUGACAAAAUAAACAGUCGAAAUAAGCCCGA